Molecule: ribosomal RNA, 486 nt
Filed under: uncultured marine eukaryote
Lineage: Eukaryota
Description: bacterial SSU rRNA
Rfam family: Eukaryotic small subunit ribosomal RNA
Source: RNAcentral
GUUAAAAAGCUCGUAGUCGAAUGUAGGUUUUGUUACUACGCGAUCUCUUGGGUGUAACUUGAGUGGACUGCGUGUAACAACCUUCCCGGAUAUAACAGAGGUAGUCUGGGUAAUUUCAGGUUAUGUCUUGUUAUAUGCAUUACUGUGAACAAAAUAGAGUGUUCAUGGCAGGCCAAUUUAGGCUUGGAUACCUCAGCAUGGAAUAAUAGAAUAGGACUUCUGGUUCUAUUUUGUUGGUUUUUGGAGCCGAAGUAAUGAUUAAUAGGGAUAGUUGGGGGCACUCGUACUCCGUUGUCAGAGGUGAAAUUCUUGGAUUGACGGAAGACGAACAACUGCGAAAGCAUCUGCCAAGGAUGUUUUCAUUGAUCAAGAACGAAAGUUAGGGGAUCGAAGACGAUUAGAUACCGUCGUAGUCCCUAACCAUAAACUAUGCCGACUGGGGAUUGGUAGAUGUACCAAAAAACGACUCUAUCAGCACCCUAUGAG